Strongylocentrotus purpuratus (purple sea urchin) is the source of this 622-nucleotide long non-coding RNA. RefSeq lists it as uncharacterized. The record is from RefSeq and is a predicted model, not a curated record. The transcript has 3 exons. NCBI's taxonomy places the organism in Eukaryota, Metazoa, Echinodermata, Echinoidea, Camarodonta, Strongylocentrotidae.
AUGUCAAAACGGUUACUAUGGAUCUCAAUGCACUGAUAAAUGUCAUUGCUUGAAUGAUGAACCAUGUGAUAAACAGGUUGGAGAGUGCCUUGAGCAGAAGUGUGCUGUAGGAUACAAAGUACGCAGUGGCCAUGUCAAAUGUCAAGAGUGUGAAGGGGGUACCUUUGGCUUGGAUUGUCUUCAGCAAUGUCAUUGUGCUCAAGAGGCUUGUGAGACAGAGAGAGGUCUUUGCCAGGGACAAUGCAUUGAUAGCUGGAUUGUACCUAGCUGCAGUCAAAGAAUAUCCAGAUUGGUUCCAGUGAGAGUGAACCCAUACCAGCCAUCUAACUUCACAUGUUAUGUCGAGGGUAUCCCACUUCCCAAUGCAUCCUCAGUUGAUCUUUACAGACGUACUGGAAGCACCAAUAACAGGACAGGAAUCACCAGGGGAUCUAGCACUGUCUCGAGGUCAGAACGAGCUGUUGUCUUUGAUGUUGAUAGUGUGUAUCCACAGGAAUAUGGGGAAUACCUUUGCAUUCUUACUGUUGAAGGUGAAGGCUAUCCAAGUACGCCAAAUACCAACCCAACCUAUGGUGAGCAAACUUUUCUGAACUUUCAUGUUAAAUGAAGAGGCAGGCACAUG